RNAcentral lists this ribosomal RNA (368 nucleotides) under uncultured Pseudomonadaceae bacterium. Its description in RNAcentral is "bacterial SSU rRNA". It matches the Rfam family "Bacterial small subunit ribosomal RNA", at positions 38 to 408 of the family's 1533-position model. Lineage: Bacteria; Pseudomonadati; Pseudomonadota; Gammaproteobacteria; Pseudomonadales; Pseudomonadaceae. The record is from RNAcentral.
GGCGGCAGGCCUAACACAUGCAAGUCGAGCGUAUGAUCCGAGCUUGCUCCCGGAUUCAGCGGCGGACGGGUGAGUAAUGCCUAGGAAUCUGCCUGGUAGUGGGGGACAACGUUUCGAAAGGAACGCUAAUACCGCAUACGUCCUACGGGAGAAAGCAGGGGACCUUCAGGCCUUGCGCUAUCAGAUGAGCCUAGGUCGGAUUAGCUAGUAGGUGGGGUAAUGGCUCACCUAGGCGACGAUCCGUAACUGGUCUGAGAGGAUGAUCACUCACACUGGAACUGAGACACGGUCCAGACUCCUACGGGAGGCAGCAGUGGGGAAUAUUGUACAAUGGGCGAAAUCCUGAUCCAGCCAUGCCACGUGUGUGA